RNAcentral lists this ribosomal RNA (404 nucleotides) under Brucella melitensis. RNAcentral describes it as "partial 16S ribosomal RNA". It matches the Rfam family "Bacterial small subunit ribosomal RNA", at positions 355 to 776 of the family's 1533-position model. RNAcentral also lists the same sequence under 3 other names. The record is from RNAcentral. Lineage: Bacteria; Pseudomonadati; Pseudomonadota; Alphaproteobacteria; Hyphomicrobiales; Brucellaceae.
UGGGGAAUAUUGGACAAUGGGCGCAAGCCUGAUCCAGCCAUGCCGCGUGAGUGAUGAAGGCCCUAGGGUUGUAGAGCUCUUUCACCGGUGAAGAUAAUGACGGUAACCGGAGAAGAAGCCCCGGCUAACUUCGUGCCAGCAGCCGCGGUAAUACGAAGGGGGCUAGCGUUGUUCGGAUUUACUGGGCGUAAAGCGCACGUAGGCGGACUUUUAAGUCAGGGGUGAAAUCCCGGGGCUCAACCCCGGAACUGCCUUUGAUACUGGAAGUCUUGAGUAUGGUAGAGGUGAGUGGAAUUCCGAGUGUAGAGGUGAAAUUCGUAGAUAUUCGGAGGAACACCAGUGGCGAAGGCGGCUCACUGGACCAUUACUGACGCUGAGGUGCGAAAGCGUGGGGAGCAAACAGG